Molecule: ribosomal RNA, 107 nt
Filed under: Acanthosepion pharaonis
Lineage: Eukaryota; Metazoa; Mollusca; Cephalopoda; Sepiida; Sepiidae
Source: RNAcentral
UUACGGCCACAUCACAUUGCAACACCAGUUCCCGUACGAUCACUGAAGUUAAGCAACGUCGAACCUGGUCAGUAACUAAAUGGGUGACCGAUUGAGAAUACCAAUUG